GUCCACGCCGUAACGAUGAGAACUAGAUGUUAGGGGCUUAGACCUCUUAGUAUCGCAGCAAACGCGUUAAGUUCUCCGCCUGGGGAGUACGGCCGCAAGGUUAAAACUCAAAGGAAUUGACGGGGCCCGCACAAGCGGUGGAACAUGUGGUUUAAUUCGAUGCAACGCGAAGAACCUUACCUACCUUUGAAUCCACAGAAUCUUGCAGAAAUGUGAGAGUGCCUUCGGGAACUGUGAGACAGGUGCUGCAUGGCUGUCGU
This 260-nucleotide ribosomal RNA is filed under the name uncultured bacterium. Its description in RNAcentral is "partial 16S ribosomal RNA". It matches the Rfam family "Bacterial small subunit ribosomal RNA", at positions 793 to 1055 of the family's 1533-position model. The record is from RNAcentral.